This 482-nucleotide ribosomal RNA is filed under the name uncultured bacterium. Its description in RNAcentral is "partial 16S ribosomal RNA". It matches the Rfam family "Bacterial small subunit ribosomal RNA", at positions 30 to 507 of the family's 1533-position model. The record is from RNAcentral.
AUUGAACGCUGGCGGCAUGCCUUACACAUGCAAGUCGAACGGUAACAGGUCUUCGGAUGCUGACGAGUGGCGAACGGGUGAGUAAUACAUCGGAACGUGCCCAGACGUGGGGGAUAACGAGGCGAAAGCUUUGCUAAUACCGCAUACGAUCUAAGGAUGAAAGCAGGGGACCGCAAGGCCUUGCGCGUUUGGAGCGGCCGAUGGCAGAUUAGGUAGUUGGUGGGAUAAAAGCUUACCAAGCCGACGAUCUGUAGCUGGUCUGAGAGGACGACCAGCCACACUGGGACUGAGACACGGCCCAGACUCCUACGGGAGGCAGCAGUGGGGAAUUUUGGACAAUGGGCGAAAGCCUGAUCCAGCAAUGCCGCGUGCAGGAUGAAGGCCUUCGGGCUGUAAACUGCUUUUGUACGGAACGAAAAGGCUCUGGCUAAUACCUGGGGCACAUGACGGUACCGUAAGAAUAAGCACCGGCUAACUACGUG